UACGUAGGUGACAAGCGUUGUCCGGAUUUACUGGGCGUAAAGAGCGCGCAGGCGGUCGAUCAAGUCGAGUGUGAAAGCCCCCGGCUCAACUGGGGAGGGUCAUUCGAUACUGAUCGACUCGAAGGCAGGAGAGGGUAGUGGAAUUCCCGGUGUAGUGGUGAAAUGCGUAGAUAUCGGGAGGAACACCAGUGGCGAAGGCGGCCACCUGGGCCGACCCUGACGCUGAGGCGCGAAGGCGUGGGGAGCAAACAGG
RNAcentral lists this ribosomal RNA (253 nucleotides) under uncultured bacterium. Its description in RNAcentral is "partial 16S ribosomal RNA". It matches the Rfam family "Bacterial small subunit ribosomal RNA", at positions 524 to 776 of the family's 1533-position model. The record is from RNAcentral.